Pelobates cultripes (western spadefoot toad) is the source of this 215-nucleotide non-coding RNA. Lineage: Eukaryota; Metazoa; Chordata; Amphibia; Anura; Pelobatidae. The record is from the annotation of a GenBank genome assembly.
AAGGGUAUCUCAUUACAUGCACCAUUUUCUAUUUUAUAGCGAAGAAGGAAACAAGUCGCAGGUUAGGUAGAUAAACAGUUAAAGAUAUAAACAGGCUUAUGGUAGGGUUCUUUUCUAACCUGUGUGCGGAAUUGUAAACAUAUAUGUGGUGGUUAUCAGGUUGGAACAAGGCUUAGGUGUACUGUAUAUGUAUGCAGUGUGAGAGGUCUGCGGGG